UUAUAAUUUUGAUUUUUAUUUAAUUAUUAAAAUAUUAUAUUAUAAUAUUAUAUAAAUCAUAUCGUAAUAUUUUCACAACAUUUGUGCAAAUGUGGUAGAGAUAUUUGAUUUCUAUUUGAUGAUAUUUCUUUCUUAAAUAUUGUGUCUAUUCGUCCGUUUAACUCGCAGUAUUUUUAUUUUGAUUUUACGUUCAAGCCCAUGAACGUUUCUCUAUAAUUCAAUCUUCCUAGAAAAUUGACGACGUAAUUCUAUUUGUUUUGAAACUACGCUCAAGACCCUUUCAAAAAGUUGGUGAUUCACAUUCGUAUCUUGUUCUCGGUAUGUGUUAAUUUUGAGUACAUUCUUUUUGAUCCAAUUCGAUAAUCGAAAUCGUGAUGUAAAGUGUCAUUCAAAACUUGUGUGUGUAUCGAAACUCUACAUCUAAAAAUGCGUUGCUUCAGAUAUAUAUUAAAAUUAGUAUUACAAAAACAUAAGGUGUCCAUCAGAAGAAAAGAUACAAAUUGAAGAAAACGCGUAGAAGAAAAGAAGAUUGAUCGUAUUAUUUGAAUUUUAAUUCUUUUGUAAUUAAUUAGAUUUUUUCAUCCGUAAUAAUUAGGAAAUGAGUGCCAUCUCUCGAGAACAUAUAGUAUUUCAAAGGCAAGGUAAGGUAGAUUAAGAAUCGAAAAUCAGUGCCAUCUAUCGAAUACUCUUGGACAUAUUUUUUUUUUUUUAUGUAUAUUUCUUUUUCUAUAUUUUAGAGAUGGUGUUAAAUUCGCAAUUUUUAAUUUAUUUUUGUCUUUCUUCCUCCUUUUGUUUAUAGUUGCUAUUGAUGCGUAAUCGUAAAGGAGAUAUAGGAUAUGUGAAUCGAACAUGUAUCGUUUCUCUUUUGAAACUACAAUGUGUCGUCUUAAUCUUUAAUCUAACGUGAAGAAUAUAGAUAUUACAUUCUGAGUUUUACAAUAUAUUUCUAGAACGAUAGAUAGGUAAGAUUGCGAAACAACGAUACACAAUGAUAUUUGAUGCGAAUAUUUUGAAAGCGAUUAGAAUUCGAUCAAACGAAAGGUUGAGACGAUAACAAAAAAUAAAUAUAUAAGAAGAAAUUUUGAAAUUUUCAAAUAAUAUAGUAUUAAAUUAUAAAAAUACUAAAAUAAUAAUAUCGAAAUUCGUUUGUGUAUUUCGUAUUCGAUAACAUUCUAUUCGCUAUUUGUAAUUUCAUCAAGCAUUACGUUCUUAGCAUUAGAUCUAUUCUAUAUAUUUUGUCCCUGGUUUUGUUAUAUUAUCAAUUUUGACAGUUGAUAUAAACCAAUGACUAUUUUCAAGAAUAUGAAAGAGGUCUUCGAAAUACUCGCUUACGUACCAAAUAAUAAAUGUGUCGUAAAAUGUAACAUGCUAUCAAUAGAUCAAUCUUGCAAUUUUGAUAAAAUAAAUUUGACGUAAUUAAUAUAAUAUAUAAUAUAAUAUAAUAUAAUAUAAAUGACUUAUUUAAGUAUAGAGAUAUUUCUUUAUUUUUCGAACGAAUCCUUCCAAUUAAAACGAAAAAAAUAAAACGAUUCCCACGAUAACACGAUGGCGAUGAUCCAAUAUGAUAUCAACGGAGAAGUAGAUUCGAUAGAUUCGAAUCGGUCGAUUCUCAUCGACCACGGCAGGACCAUGACAACAAGAAUUCAGUCGGUUCGCGAUGUGGCGACAGAAGAAGAACCGUUUUUUGAUAGAUCGGCAACAACCUCUCACGAGCAAGAUCCCACGAACUAAACUGAACAUACGGAUCGAUCGGAAUGCCGAAAUAGCAAAUUAGGGGAUUCCAGGAGAACUGCCCUCUCUGUCUCUUACCUACUUCUUAUUUCUUUCUUAUUCUGGUUUCAAAGCUUUGUCCUCGUCCGCCUUAAACGUUACCAUUCGAUUCCGCCGCUGCGUUCCACCCCUUCCGACAAACUUAAUAAUAGUAAUGAUCCGUCGCGUAGUUCGGUAAAUUAUCAUUCAACUUUGAUUAUCGUUUAUAUAAUUUUGUUCGAGGAUUCAAAGAAUAUUGGUCAUCGAGGAAAUAAUAUUUUUAUGUCGAAAUAUAAUAUAAAAAUAUCGAGGGGAAUCCAUUUUAUGUGAAAAUGUAAAGAAAAAAAAAAAAAAGUCGAAUUGAAUCGAU
This is a long non-coding RNA of Apis mellifera (honey bee), 2119 nucleotides long. RefSeq lists it as uncharacterized. The record is from RefSeq and is a predicted model, not a curated record. Lineage: Eukaryota; Metazoa; Arthropoda; Insecta; Hymenoptera; Apidae. The transcript is spliced from 3 exons.